This 137-nucleotide non-coding RNA is filed under the name Candidatus Parcubacteria bacterium. RNAcentral describes it as "Parcubacteria bacterium SAM-I sequence". It matches the Rfam family "SAM riboswitch aptamer (S box leader)". From Rfam's summary of the family: The SAM riboswitch is found upstream of a number of genes which code for proteins involved in methionine or cysteine biosynthesis in Gram-positive bacteria. The SAM riboswitch acts at the level of transcription termination control. Lineage: Bacteria; Candidatus Parcubacteria. The record is from RNAcentral.
AAAUUAUCAAGAAAGCCGGGGAGAGUAUUGGCUCAUUGAUCCGGUUAGCAACCAGUUUAGUUGCCCGUAACUAUUUAUUGGUAACUGAACGUGGUGCUCCAUCCAACCCGUUAACGCAUAAGCGGGAAAGAUAAGCU